Molecule: ribosomal RNA, 377 nt
Filed under: uncultured bacterium
Lineage: Bacteria
Description: bacterial SSU rRNA
Rfam family: Bacterial small subunit ribosomal RNA
Source: RNAcentral
AUACGGGGGGGUCUAGCGUUAUUCGGAUUUACUGGGCGUAAAGAGCGCGUAGGCGGGAUCGUGGGUCGGCCGUGAAAUCCACCGGCUCAACCGGUGAACUGCGGUCGAAACUGCGGUCCUUGAGUUUGGUAGAGGAAGACGGAAUUCCUGGUGUAGCGGUGGAAUGCGUAGAUAUCAGGAAGAACACCAGUAGCGAAGGCGGUCUUCUGGGCCACAACUGACGCUGAGGCGCGAAAGCUAGGGGAGCGAACAGGAUUAGAUACCCUGGUAGUCCUAGCCGUAAACGAUGGGUACUAGGUGUGGGAGGUACUGACCCCUUCUGUGCCGCAGUUAACGCAUUAAGUACCCCGCCUGGGGAGUACGGUCGCAAGGCUGAA